GAUGAACGCUGGCGGCGUGCCUAAUACAUGCAAGUCGAGCGAACGGACGAGAAGCUUGCUUCUCUGAUGUUAGCGGCGGACGGGUGAGUAACACGUGGAUAACCUACCUAUAAGACUGGGAUAACUUCGGGAAACCGGAUCUAAUACCGGAUGAUAUUUUGAACCGCAUGGUUCAAAAGUGAAAGACGGUCUUUCUGUCACUUAUAGAUUGAUCCGCGCUGCAUUAGCUAGUUGGUAAGGUAACGGCUUACCAAGGCAACGAUGCAUAGCCGACCUGAGAGGGUGAUCCGCCACACUGGAACUGAGACACGGUCCCGACUCCUACGGGAGGCAGCAGUAGGGAAUCUUCCGCAAUGGGCGAAAGCCUGACGGAGCAACGCCGCGUGAGUGAUGAAGGUCUUCGGAUCGUAAAACUCUGUUAUUAGGGAAGAACAUAUGUGUAAGUAACUGUGCACAUCUUGACGGUACCUAAUCAGAAAGCCACGGCUAACUACGUG
This 497-nucleotide ribosomal RNA is filed under the name uncultured bacterium. RNAcentral's name for it is "partial 16S ribosomal RNA". It matches the Rfam family "Bacterial small subunit ribosomal RNA", at positions 28 to 507 of the family's 1533-position model. The record is from RNAcentral.